RNAcentral lists this microRNA precursor (58 nucleotides) under Drosophila ananassae. Its description in RNAcentral is "Dan-Mir-976_pre stem-loop". The record is from RNAcentral. Lineage: Eukaryota; Metazoa; Arthropoda; Insecta; Diptera; Drosophilidae.
AUUGGUGAGUUCAUCUCCAAUGGUCAGUAGCCCGCAUUGGAUUAGUUCUCAUUGAUGG